GAUCGGCACCGGAAGGCCCUCCCCCCGCCAGGGGCAGGAACAGCGGGCCCUGGAAAGGCCCAGGACUGCAGCUUUUCUUUGACCUUGGUGACCUUGACAGUUUUGAGGAGUACGGGCCGGAUAUUUGCACAACGUCUCAUGAUGAGCCUCAGGUGACGCGGCUGGAGAGAAGACCACACAGAUGGGACUGCCCGUGCCAUCACAUCACAUCAAGGCUGCAGGUGACCAACAUGGCCUCUCACUGUUAGUGCUGACCUUGACCAUGACCUGGAUGAGGAGCACAUACAUUCCCUAGAUUCCGGCGAUCCCGUCAGCUGGUACAAACGUGAAGAAAGAGAGAAGAAAUUUAGAGCCGGCUUAGUUAUCCCUAUUCAAAAUAAA
Long non-coding RNA from Suricata suricatta (meerkat), 381 nucleotides. RefSeq lists it as uncharacterized. Lineage: Eukaryota; Metazoa; Chordata; Mammalia; Carnivora; Herpestidae. The record is from RefSeq and is a predicted model, not a curated record. The transcript is spliced from 3 exons.